UUUCAGGAGCUGGUUGUCUACUGUUUGAUUACAUGAACUAAUAAAGAGAGAUGUCAGUUGAAAAAAAGAAUGUGCAGUUGAAUUGCUCCUGAACUGGGCAAAGGUCUGAAGGGGACAAUAUUGAUCUUGCUUGCAGACGCAAAUUUGCCAGACUUAUGUGCAGACUGUCCGCAGAAUCCAUUUGUCAAUAAAAAGUGGAUGCAGUUGCAAAUACACUUCAUGAUGAAUCGCCACAAAGCAAUGAGUGGGAGAAUACAGAAUAGAAAAUGAACAGUCAGAAACAUGGAUUGACAGCAAAAUUCAGGGUCACGAUCCGCAUGCAACAAGGAACUAAAUCGGUACAUUCCUUAUCUGAUUGGAACUUCUGGAUCCUAGAACUUGCAAUUUUUUCAGCAAUGUGAUGUGCCCUUGCAAGGCAGACAAAGAAGCCAAGAAACUGAAGACACUCCAGUACAGCAACACUGAGCAGAAAGGUGUGGAUUUCAAUUCAAUUAAGAUAAUGAAAGUUUGGAAAGGUUCCAAAAAUUAAAUGUGAUGAGCAUGAAUACCCCGCAAAAUUUUCCAUAAGUCUGUCUGCUGAAACCCUGGAGCAUGCA
Molecule: long non-coding RNA, 596 nt
Organism: Rhincodon typus (whale shark)
Lineage: Eukaryota; Metazoa; Chordata; Chondrichthyes; Orectolobiformes; Rhincodontidae
Exons: 5
Source: RefSeq, a predicted model, not a curated record